This 85-nucleotide transfer RNA is filed under the name Candidatus Olsenella pullicola. Its description in RNAcentral is "tRNA-Leu". It matches the Rfam family "tRNA". From Rfam's summary of the family: Transfer RNA (tRNA) molecules are approximately 80 nucleotides in length. Their secondary structure includes four short double-helical elements and three loops (D, anti-codon, and T loops). Further hydrogen bonds mediate the characteristic L-shaped molecular structure. tRNAs have two regions of fundamental functional importance: the anti-codon, which is responsible for specific mRNA codon recognition, and the 3' end, to which the tRNAs corresponding amino acid is attached (by aminoacyl-tRNA synthetases). tRNAs cope with the degeneracy of the genetic code in two manners: having more than one tRNA (with a specific anti-codon) for a particular amino acid; and 'wobble' base-pairing, i.e. permitting non-standard base-pairing at the 3rd anti-codon position. Lineage: Bacteria; Bacillati; Actinomycetota; Coriobacteriia; Coriobacteriales; Atopobiaceae. The record is from RNAcentral.
GGGGGCGUGGCGGAAUUGGCAUACGCAGGAGACUUAAAAUCUUCGGCCGAAAGGAUUGUGGGUUCGAGUCCCACCGCCCCCACCA